RNAcentral lists this unclassified non-coding RNA (189 nucleotides) under uncultured Ganoderma. RNAcentral's name for it is "sequence contains ITS2". The record is from RNAcentral. Lineage: Eukaryota; Fungi; Basidiomycota; Agaricomycetes; Polyporales; Polyporaceae.
AAUCCUCAACCUACAAGCUUUUGUGGUUUGUAGGCUUGGACUUGGAGGCUUGUCGGCCGUUAUCGGUCGGCUCCUCUUAAAUGCAUUAGCUUGGUUCCUUGCGGAUCGGCUCUCGGUGUGAUAAUGUCUACGCCGCGACCGUGAAGCGUUUGGCGAGCUUCUAACCGUCUUAUAAGACAGCUUUAUGAC